CACAGAUAAACAACCAGCACCAGCACAACAAAGCUCUAACCCCACAGCACAGGAAACAGUUGCAAGCAUUAUGCCUGCACCUCCUCUGGUCUACAGCGUCCUGGACUUUCCCAAAAGAACUUCAGCAGUUAUGGAGAUGAAUUCAAGUCAAACAGAGUACGCUGCCAUCAGUUAUCUCCCAGAGAAGAGACAAGGGUGACCUGCAGAUGAAUGUAAGCCAGGCGGCCUUUCUUGGUUUGGGUAUACAGAUGCUUAUAUGAAUGUAUUUUAACAGCACAAUGACGAAUCCUCACAGUCUGUAUGCCCAUUGUCAUAAUUUACAAGCAAAACAGGUCAUGAGGGAAAGAGUCUCUUGGGUUGUGAGUAUUGAGGUGUCCCUUUUGUUUUUGGUGGGCGUAAGAUUCAAAUGUUCAUAGCCGUUGCAACAAA
Notothenia coriiceps (black rockcod) is the source of this 429-nucleotide long non-coding RNA. RefSeq lists it as uncharacterized. The record is from RefSeq and is a predicted model, not a curated record. The transcript is spliced from 2 exons. NCBI's taxonomy places the organism in Eukaryota, Metazoa, Chordata, Actinopteri, Perciformes, Nototheniidae.